Molecule: ribosomal RNA, 253 nt
Filed under: uncultured bacterium
Lineage: Bacteria
Description: partial 16S ribosomal RNA
Rfam family: Bacterial small subunit ribosomal RNA
Source: RNAcentral
UACGGAGAAGGCAAGCGUUAUCCGGAAUUAUUGGGCGUAAAGCGUCCGUAGGUGGUUGACCAAGUCUGCUGUCAAAGGGUGGGGCUUAACCUCAUAAAGGCAGUGGAAACUGGUGAGCUAGAGUGCGGUAGGGGUAAGGGGAAUUCCCAGUGUAGCGGUGAAAUGCGUAGAGAUUGGGAAGAACAUCGGUGGUGAAAGCGCCUUGCGGGGCCUGCAUUGACAAUGAGGGACGAAAGCUAGGGGAGCGAAAGGG